GGGCUCCUGGAAAGACAUCUGUUAUCAUAAUGGGCCUGAUAAUUAUCAAGCAUUCAAGUGUAUAACGCUCUUUCUGGCGACUCCGACUGGAGGGCGUCUUGUACAAGGGAAUUGCGAACUUGGGAAGUGGAAAAUGAAUCAGAAAUUUGGAGGGGGGAAACCGCCAACUGGAACGCCGUCGUUACCUUGGUCGUGCGCAGUCGUGAUCGUUUCGCUCCUCGCCGGUGCCUCGGUCGUCCACAACAUAUUUAAGCCUGAUCUGACUUUGCCUCCAAUUGAGAAAAGCGUUGAUGGGGCUCAACGAGAACCCGUGGAAAAACACUGAUGAAUUUCCAGUUUCACUUGUCUGUUGAGGUGUAAUUCAGGAGUCACUCACUACCAGUACCAGCAGUGGUGCUUCAUAAAUUUAUACAUUUGAAACUUUUUUUAAGUAUAUACAAUUUCAUGAGUUCCACUGUGAUUUGGAUCCCCAUUUUUCCUUUUUUUGGUGGGGACUUGUCUUCUAGUAUUUGAAUUUCGGUUCAAGUUUGAUCUCUUCGUGACGUGUCUAGGGCAUGUUAAUAAUCCACAUCAAGUUAGAGAUGGAGAACUGCAACUGUCUUUGAGCUCAUUCUCAAUCCCCAAAUCCUUGCAAUAAUUUUUAGUGUAGUAUUUGGCUUGUCUUUGCGACUACUGUUUACUAAUAUUAGCAGUUAUGCAAAGGAAAAAUUGAAGUAAAUUCAGCCGUAUUUUAUUGUCAAAUUAGAUAUAAUUGAUACUUACAAGCAAAUUGCACGUGUAAUCAACUGUUUGUAUUAAAUAUGCAUGGUUGAUGUUGCAUACUAAUUGAUAUGCCAUUCCCAUGACAAACCGGAGUAAUUGGCAAUCCCACCCUGUUCUUUUCCACCGAGCGCAAAAUUUUGUGUGAAGCAAAAAAAAAA
Molecule: non-coding RNA, 920 nt
Organism: Coffea arabica (coffee)
Lineage: Eukaryota; Viridiplantae; Streptophyta; Magnoliopsida; Gentianales; Rubiaceae
Source: RefSeq, a predicted model, not a curated record